Molecule: long non-coding RNA, 283 nt
Organism: Hyla sarda
Lineage: Eukaryota; Metazoa; Chordata; Amphibia; Anura; Hylidae
Exons: 3
Source: RefSeq, a predicted model, not a curated record
GUGUGCACCAGUUUAUACCAUAGACGGUCGCCUCCCAUAGCAACCAGUCGGCGAACUACCUCGUACCGGCCUGGUGAAAAUCCGCGUCAGCCAUACAGAUCAUCUAGCUUGCUAUAUACUGCAACAUCACUCCGUUCACCUGCAUUACUGACAAGUUCCUCCCUGACAAGCUCUUCUUUGCUACAAGAUCAGUGUUCUGUGAAAGAUGGAUAAACUUCUUUGCGGCCUACUCACUAGUAUGCAGCCUCUUAGGGAACACGUCCACAUGGAUUUAAUAAUUUUU